GAUCCCUAGCUGGUCUGAGAGGAUGACCAGCCACACUGGAACUGAGACACGGUCCAGACUCCUACGGGAGGCAGCAGUGGGGAAUAUUGCACAAUGGGCGCAAGCCUGAUGCAGCCAUGCCGC
This 123-nucleotide ribosomal RNA is filed under the name Salmonella enterica subsp. enterica serovar Montevideo. RNAcentral's name for it is "partial 16S ribosomal RNA". It matches the Rfam family "Bacterial small subunit ribosomal RNA", at positions 278 to 400 of the family's 1533-position model. RNAcentral also lists the same sequence under 1 other name. Lineage: Bacteria; Pseudomonadati; Pseudomonadota; Gammaproteobacteria; Enterobacterales; Enterobacteriaceae. The record is from RNAcentral.